UCUCUCUCUCUCUCUCUCUUUCUCUCUCGAUCUCGAAAGGCCGCGCAAAACCCUAUUUAAACCCUAAAUCCCAAUACAUUGAAAAGCCCUAACAAUGGCUUCAAUUUUACUUUGAUAUCGCUUUCCAUCGAUAGUAUCGAGAAAUAAGAAAUCUAAUGGGCGAUCUUUUAGCUAAGACUUUGCCAAAGAAUCCAUCAUCUCUUCUCAAUGUAUAAUCGCCGAUCAGUCCGCGGAGGCCAUGGCUGUUGCGGCAGAGUCUCCGGAUGAGGCUGCCAUUGCGGGUUCGGAGAGGAAAGGCUGGAGAUUUUUUUAAAUAUGGGCUCAUUGCCGCUUUUAGUGGAGCUACUGGUUUUGCUGGCUACGCAACUUACAUUUGGUUUUACUUUUUUUUUUUUUUUUAAUGCUUUUCGCUGCAGAGUUCGGCUUUGAAAAAGAAAAGUUGGUUGGAACAAGAUGCUAUUUUUGAAAUAAAUCCCACGUUCUGGAUAGACAAUUAUAUGUCUGGAAUUGUUAGCUUUACCGAUUUCUGGUUUUACCGACUUCAGAUUGCUAAACGUUUGCCACUUGUGAUCUCUCGAAACUCAUUAGAGAUCUGAGUAAGAUUACACAUGUGAGUGCUCAUGCGUUUGAAAAUAGCCUUCAUCCAGAAAAUUGUGUCCCUGUCAAGCCAUUUAAGAUUGAUGAGAAAGGCGAAGAAUUUGUGGAUGCAACACUUUCGGAUCUCAUUCCGUUUCUUGAACAUGAGUGUGUUGAUUUUUAUUGCAUACAUAAAUUAGAGCCCAUUUUGUUGUCGCUGUGGAAGUUAAAUGUCUGUGAUCCAUUUUUCAUUUCUCUUUUUUAAAUUGCAUCUGAGGGGCAAAAGAAUUCUCUUGAAUAGGUGUAUCUUAAAAAAAAAAAAAAAAAAAAAAAACUCUACCAUGAAUCCUGAGGAUGUAUUGCUCAUAUGAAACAUCAACCAGGGAUGGGAAGGGCAUAACAAAAAAACUGCCCCCUGGGCUUGCAAGAUAUUUAGUACCUUUCUGGUUUGUGCAUAGAUGUUGCUUUUGCAAGUCCAGCAGAUAUCAAAAAUGUGUAGCAUCUUAUGAAAAGGAGAGGAUAUUGCAAUAGAGUUAUAGGAACGGUCCAAGCAAACACAGAGGUAAAUUGUAUUCUUGCUUGUCUAUGAUUUAGGCUUGGUUGAGUUAAUCAAAAUUUAUUGGGGUGCUUGAAGGCGAAUGGUGAUGCAGCCAUAUGCAAAUUAAAUGAACAAAAUGACAUUAACUGGAUGACAUGUUAAUAUUGUUGAAUGAUGAUCCAGGCGAAUGCAAGAACAGAGGCAGCAAGGUUUUUUUUAUGAAGAUCAGGCUACUGUAAAAAUAUGGUCGAUGGAUAUUUAAUAGAUGAAUGUGAAGAUAUUGCAGUUGAAGUCGUGAAGCCCUUUAUGUUUCGGAUGUUAGUAUUAUGAUUGUCACUCAAUUAUCUUGACCAUCAAGUAUUUUUUUUUUCCCUAUAGUAACAGUUGAAUUAAUUUACAAGAUUAAUUUUCUAGUAUUGAAACAA
This is a long non-coding RNA of Hevea brasiliensis (rubber tree), 1539 nucleotides long. RefSeq lists it as uncharacterized. The transcript is spliced from 2 exons. The record is from RefSeq and is a predicted model, not a curated record. Lineage: Eukaryota; Viridiplantae; Streptophyta; Magnoliopsida; Malpighiales; Euphorbiaceae.